Molecule: ribosomal RNA, 501 nt
Filed under: uncultured bacterium
Lineage: Bacteria
Description: partial 16S ribosomal RNA
Rfam family: Bacterial small subunit ribosomal RNA
Source: RNAcentral
GACGAACGCUGGCGGCGUGCCUAAUACAUGCAAGUCGAGCGGACCGGAUUGGGGCUUGCCUUGAUUCGGUCAGCGGCGGACGGGUGAGUAACACGUGGGCAACCUGCCCGCAAGACCGGGAUAACUCCGGGAAACCGGAGCUAAUACCGGAUAACACCGAAGACCGCAUGGUCUUCGGUUGAAAGGCGGCCUUUGGGCUGUCACUUGCGGAUGGGCCCGCGGCGCAUUAGCUAGUUGGUGAGGUAACGGCUCACCAAGGCGACGAUGCGUAGCCGGCCUGGGAGGGUGACCGGCCACACUGGGACUGAGACACGGCCCAGACUCCUCCGGGAGGCAGCAGUAGGGAAUCUUCCGCAAUGGGCGAAAGCCUGACGGAGCGACGCCGCGUGAGCGAAGAAGGCCUUCGGGUCGUAAAGCUCUGUUGUGAGGGACGAAGGAGCGUCGUUCGAAGAGGGCGGCGCGGUGACGGUACCUCACGAGAAAGCCCCGGCUAACUACGUG